This 496-nucleotide ribosomal RNA is filed under the name uncultured bacterium. Its description in RNAcentral is "partial 16S ribosomal RNA". It matches the Rfam family "Bacterial small subunit ribosomal RNA", at positions 29 to 507 of the family's 1533-position model. The record is from RNAcentral.
AUGCACGCUGGCGGCGUGCCUAAUACCUGCAAGUCGAGCGCACAGAUAAGGAGCUUGCUCCUUUGACGUUAGCGGCGGACGGGUGAGUAACACGUGGGUAACCUACCUAUAAGACUGGGAUAACUUCGGGAAACCGGAGCUAAUACCGGAUAACAUUUGGAACCGCAUGGUUCUAAAGUGAAAGAUGGUUUUGCUAUCACUUAUAGAUGGACCCGCGCCGUAUUAGCUAGUUGGUAAGGUAACGGCUUACCAAGGCAACGAUACGUAGCCGACCUGAGAGGGUGAUCGGCCACACUGGAACUGAGACACGGUCCAGACUCCUACGGGAGGCAGCAGUAGGGAAUCUUCCGCAAUGGGCGAAAGCCUGACGGAGCAACGCCGCGUGAGUGAUGAAGGGUUUCGGCUCGUAAAACUCUGUUAUUAGGGAAGAACAAACGUGUAAGUAACUGUGCACGUCUUGACGGUACCUAAUCAGAAAGCCACGGCUAACUACGUG